GGGAGCGACUUGGCUUCGACAGGAGUAAGUCUGCUUAGAUGGCAUGUCGCUUUGGGCAAAGCGUAAAAAGCUCAAAUAAAAUUAAACGCAAACAACGUUAAAUUCGCUCCUGCUUACGCUAAAGCUGCGUAAGUUCAGUUGAGCCUGAAAUUUAAGUCAUACUAUCUAGCUUAAUUUUCGGUCAUUUUUGAUAGUGUAGCCUUGCGUUUGACAAGCGUUGAGGUGAAAUAAAGUCUUAGCCUUGCUUUUGAGUUUUGGAAGAUGAGCGAAGUAGGGUGAAGUAGUCAUCUUUGCUAAGCAUGUAGAGAUCUUUGUGGGAUUAUUUUUGGACAGGGGUUCGAUUCCCCUCGCUUCCACCA
Molecule: transfer-messenger RNA, 359 nt
Filed under: Campylobacter jejuni
Lineage: Bacteria; Pseudomonadati; Campylobacterota; Epsilonproteobacteria; Campylobacterales; Campylobacteraceae
Also listed under: 2 other names
Rfam family: transfer-messenger RNA
About the family: Bacterial tmRNA, also known as 10Sa RNA or SsrA, is named for its dual tRNA and mRNA-like properties. Its role is to liberate the mRNA from a stalled ribosome.
Source: RNAcentral